CCCGCCGCGACCGGCGCACGGUGAGUAACACGUAUGCAACCUGGCCGCCACAGGGGGAUAACCCGCGGAAACGCGGCCUAAUACCCCGUGACGCCACCGGAGGGCAUCCUCCGGUGGCCAAAGGAGCGAUCCGGUGGCGGAUGGGCAUGCGGCGCAUUAGCUAGACGGCGGGGUGACGGCCCACCGUGGCGACGAUGCGUAGGGGUUCUGAGAGGAAGGCCCCCCACACUGGGACUGAGACACGGCCCAGACUCCUACGGGAGGCAGCAG
RNAcentral lists this ribosomal RNA (270 nucleotides) under uncultured bacterium. RNAcentral describes it as "partial 16S ribosomal RNA". It matches the Rfam family "Bacterial small subunit ribosomal RNA", at positions 85 to 354 of the family's 1533-position model. The record is from RNAcentral.